CUCAACCUCGGAAUUGCAGUCGAUACUGUUGUGACUCGAGUCCGGUAGAGGAGAAUGGAAUUCCCGGUGUAGCGGUGAAAUGCGCAGAUAUCGGGAGGAACACCAGUAGCGAAGGCGGUUCUCUGGGCCGGUACUGACGCUGAGGAGCGAAAGCGUGGGGAGCAAACAGGAUUAGAUACCCUGGUAGUCCACGCCGUAAACGUUGGAUACUAGGUGUGGCGGUCUUACCAACGACUGCCGUGCCGAAGCUAACGCAUUAAGUAUCCCGCCUGGGGAGUACGGCCGCAAGGCUAAAACUCAAAGGAAUUGACGGGUCCCCGCACAAGCGGCGGAGCAUGCGGCUUAAUUCGAUGCAACCCGAAGAACCUUACCUGGGUUUGACAUCACGGGAAAAGCUGUAGAAAUACAGUGUCCGUAAGGGCCC
Molecule: ribosomal RNA, 424 nt
Filed under: uncultured Actinomycetes bacterium
Lineage: Bacteria; Bacillati; Actinomycetota; Actinomycetes
Description: bacterial SSU rRNA
Rfam family: Bacterial small subunit ribosomal RNA
Source: RNAcentral